RNAcentral lists this ribosomal RNA (468 nucleotides) under uncultured bacterium. RNAcentral's name for it is "partial 16S ribosomal RNA". It matches the Rfam family "Bacterial small subunit ribosomal RNA", at positions 28 to 507 of the family's 1533-position model. The record is from RNAcentral.
GACGAACGCUGGCGGCGUGCUUAACACAUGCAAGUCGAACGGAAAGGCCCUGCUUUUGUGGGGUGCUCGAGUGGCGAACGGGUGAGUAACACGUGAGUAACCUGCCCUUGACUUUGGGAUAACUUCAGGAAACUGGGGCUAAUACCGGAUAGGAGCUCCUGAUGCAUGGUGGGGGUUGGAAAGUUUCGGCGGUUGGGGAUGGACUCGCGGCUUAUCAGCUUGUUGGUGGGGUAGUGGCUUACCAAGGCUUUGACGGGUAGCCGGCCUGAGAGGGUGACCGGCCACAUGAGGACUGAGAUACGGCCCAGACGCCUACUGGAGGCAUCGGUGGAGAAUAUUGCACAAUGAGCGGAAGCCUGAUGCAGCAACGCCGCGUGCGGAAUGACGGCCUUCGGGUUGUAAACCGCUUUCGCCUGUGACGAAGCGUGAGUGACGGUAAUGGAUAAAGAAGCACCGGCUAACUACGUG